UCGAGAAUCUUCGGCAAUGCGCGCAAGCGUGACCGAGCGACGCCGCGUGCGGGAUGAAGGCCUUCGGGUUGUAAACCGUAAAAGUGAGGAGGAAGGCUCCGUGAAGAGCGGAGUUUGACCGAGCCACAGUAAGGCCGGGCUAAGUUCGUGCCAGCAGCCGCGGUAAGACGAACCGGCCAAACGUUAUUCGGAAUCAUUGGGCUUAAAGGGUGCGUAGGCGGCGCGGUCAGUUGGGUGUGAAAGCCCUCGGCUCAACCGAGGAAUUGCGCCCAAUACUGCCGUGCUAGAGGGAGACAGAGGCGAGCGGAACUGAUGGUGGAGCGGUGAAAUGCGUUGAUAUCAUCAGGAACACCGGUGGCGAAAGCGGCUCGCUGGGUCUCUUCUGACGCUCAGGCACGAAAGCUAGGGUAGCGAACGGGAUUAGAUACCCCCGUAGUCC
RNAcentral lists this ribosomal RNA (439 nucleotides) under uncultured prokaryote. RNAcentral's name for it is "bacterial SSU rRNA". It matches the Rfam family "Bacterial small subunit ribosomal RNA", at positions 355 to 796 of the family's 1533-position model. The record is from RNAcentral.